This 253-nucleotide ribosomal RNA is filed under the name uncultured bacterium. Its description in RNAcentral is "partial 16S ribosomal RNA". It matches the Rfam family "Bacterial small subunit ribosomal RNA", at positions 524 to 776 of the family's 1533-position model. The record is from RNAcentral.
UACAGAGACUGCAAGCGUUAUUCGGAUUCCCUGGGCGUAAAGGGUGCGCAGGCGGCCAAGUGUGUGAGGCGUGAAAGCCCGGGGCUUAACCCCGGAAUUGCACCUCAAACUACAUGGCUAGAGCAUUGGAGAGGGUAGCAGAAUUCAUGGUGUAGCAGUGAAAUGCGUAGAUAUCAUGAGGAAUACCAGAGGCGAAGGCGGCUACCUGGACAAUUGCUGACGCUCAGGCACGAAAGCGUGGGGAGCAAACAGG